UGGGUAACCUGCCUCUUGCUCUGGGAUAACUCCGGGAAACCGGGGCCAAUACCGGAUAUUCAUUUCUGACCGCAUGGUUGGUUGUGGAAAGUUUUUCGGCGAGAGAUGGGCCCGCGGCCUAUCAGCUUGUUGGUGGGGUGAUGGCCUACCAAGGCGACGACGGGUAGCCGGCCUGGGAGGGCGACCGGCCACACUGGGACUGAGACACGGCCCAGACUCCUACGGGAGGCA
Molecule: ribosomal RNA, 231 nt
Filed under: uncultured bacterium
Lineage: Bacteria
Description: partial 16S ribosomal RNA
Rfam family: Bacterial small subunit ribosomal RNA
Source: RNAcentral